RNAcentral lists this ribosomal RNA (476 nucleotides) under Rana dybowskii. RNAcentral describes it as "partial 12S ribosomal RNA". It matches the Rfam family "Bacterial small subunit ribosomal RNA", at positions 853 to 1533 of the family's 1533-position model. Lineage: Eukaryota; Metazoa; Chordata; Amphibia; Anura; Ranidae. The record is from RNAcentral.
UUAACUUACACCCACACCGCCAGGGGACUACGAGCAAUGCUUAAAACCCAAAGGAUUUGACGGUGUCCCACCCCACUAGAGGAGCCUGUUCUAUAAUCGAUAAUCCCCGCUUCACCUAACCAUCCCUCGCCUUCAGUCUGUAUACCUCCGUCGAAAGCUUACCAUGUGAAUGCCCGCAGUGAGCUUAAUGAUCCACCAUCAGUACGUCAGGUCAAGGUGCAACUUAAGGAAUGGUAAGUAAUGGGCUACAAUUUCUAAUCUAGAACAAACGAAAGACUAUGUGAAACCCUAGUCAUGAAGGUGGAUUUAGUAGUAAAAAGAAAGCAGAGUGUUCUUUUUAACCCGGCUCUGGGACGCGUACACACCGCCCGUCACCCUCUUCGAUAGUACUGUAUCUGUUCAUAACCUAACAACACGUUUUAGAAGAGGUAAGUCGUAACAUGGUAAGUGUACUGGAAAGUGCACUUGGUAUACUA